UCUGUGGUAGCUGACUUUGUUCGCUUUAUAGGUGAAUGGUGUUGUUCGAAAAUAGGUGAAGUCCUCUAAUUUUAGUGUAAUUCAAACGUAUUUGUUCAAUAACACCAUAGCCUUCCAUCAUAUAAUUAUCACGAAGAGCACUAUUUGAAAGGUUUGUUUUUGAGGAAGCUGCUACUAAUCUAGAUGGUCACUGCACAGCUCCCAAACUCCCCAGCUUAAACCUACCAAAGAAAUGAUAAGCAACUUUCUAAGGAACCUAGGCCAGAUGACUGAUGAAGGUUUGGUAACAAGGUGUGUGGAAAUACAGGUAACUUCUAACCUGCUGAACCAUAACAUCUGAAGACUACUGGAUGGGUCGCUUAUGAUGAAGUACAGCUCGGCACCUGCUCAUCUGAUUUUGUGUUACCUUGGCAGCCUACAUUUCACAACUAAUGAAAAUAUGUUAUGCAGAAGAAAGUAUUGUAUUGGAAAGAAGUCAGAAAUUCCAAGUUUUAAUUAUUGAAGGAAAAAAUCAAUGAAAUUAAACUGUACAAGAUUGAAAUUGGCUGUUUUACGUAGAAAAUUAAAGUCGAAGAGGAUGUAGAAGAAUUCAAAGAAUGUGAUUUAAGAGAGAACAAGCAGAUGACCAAAGCGAAGGUGUCGAGCAUUUAUAUGACAGCCGUUAUAGAUGAUUAUUGCAAAGAGGAUAUCAUCAAGCAAUGAGAUGAAUGACCAUUGUGAAGAGAAAAUCAUCAAGCAUUAAGAUAACUGCCAUUUUAGAGAGGAGAACUUGCAGAAGACUACUGUGAGGUGACAUGAAGAAUUGAGAUGGCUGCCAUUUUGAAGAGGAUAACUUGCAGAUGACCACUGUGGAGAGACAUCAAGCAGCCAUCCCAAAGAGGAACAGCAAAUGACCACUGUGAAAAGACUUCAAGCAUCAAGAUGGCUGCCAUUUUGAAUUUGAAAAAGAGCGGCAGAUGACCAUGACCAUUGUGAAGAGUCCUCAAGCAUUGGGAUGGCUACCAUUUUGAAGAGGAGAACUUGCAGAUGACCACUGUGCGGAGACAUGAAGCAUUGAAAUGGCUGCCAUUUUGGAGAGGAGACCUUGCAGAUGACCACUGUGAAGAGACUUCAAGCCUUUUUUGAAUAGAAACAGCAGAUGACCACUGUUUAGAGAAAGCAGGGGAGUUGCUGCCAUUUUGAGUAGGAGCAGUAGAUGAUCACUGUGUAGAGACUUCAAGCAGCCAUACCAAAGAGGAGCAGAAGAUGACUACUGUGAAGAGUCCUCAAGCAUUGGGGUUACUGCCAUUUUAAAAAGGAGCAGUAAAUUACCACUGUGAAGAGGUGUCAAGCAUUGGGAUGGUUGCCAUUUUACAGAAGAGAUCUUGCAGAUGUCCAAUGAGAGACAAGGCAUUGAGAUGGCUGCCAUUUUAGAGAGGAAAACUUGCAGUUGACCUCUAUGUAGAGACUUCAAGCAGCCAUCCCAGUGAGGAGCAGCAGAUGUCCACUGAAGAGACAUCAAGUAUCCAUCCCAUUUUGAAUAGCAGCAGCUGAUGACCAUAGUGAAGAGACAUCAAGCUUUGGGUUGGCUGCCAUUUUGAAUAGGAGCAGCAGUUGACCACUGUGAAGAGACAUCAAGCAGCUAUCCCGACGAGGAGCAGCAGAUGACCACAGUGAAGAUACAUCAAGCUUUGGGUUGGUUGCCAUUUUGAAGAGGAGCACAUGCAGAUGACCAUUGUGACGAGACACCAAGCAUUGGGAAGGCUCCAUUUUAGACAGACCUGCAUCGACCACUGUGAAGAAAACGAAGCAUUGAGAUGACUGCCAUUUUUAGAGAGAAACACAAAUUAUUAUAG
Macrobrachium nipponense is the source of this 1835-nucleotide long non-coding RNA. RefSeq lists it as uncharacterized. NCBI's taxonomy places the organism in Eukaryota, Metazoa, Arthropoda, Malacostraca, Decapoda, Palaemonidae. The transcript has 5 exons. The record is from RefSeq and is a predicted model, not a curated record.